Long non-coding RNA from Patella vulgata (common limpet), 2781 nucleotides. RefSeq lists it as uncharacterized. The transcript is spliced from 5 exons. The record is from RefSeq and is a predicted model, not a curated record. NCBI's taxonomy places the organism in Eukaryota, Metazoa, Mollusca, Gastropoda, Patellidae.
GACCAGAUUAAAAUUUUAUAAUAUACCGUCCAUUAUCAACAUAUUAAAUACUACAGAUAUAAUAAUACCAGAACUACAAGUUAUAGAUCAUCAUCAUAAUACUGUAGUCACAUAUCACCAUGCAUGGAAACCAUUGUACGCCAGUCAGUACUUUAACUUUGAUGAAAGCAGUGGAAGGAUAUCUGUAGUUAAAGAUGUACAGUUUAAUAUAAGUAGAGUUGAUAUAUUUAUAACAGCUACUGAUGGACACACAACAACCAAACCUCAAUCUUUUCCUAUUUACAUUCACCAUGUAUCAGAAACACCACAAUUCUUAGAAAAACAGUUCCAACUUCUGGUAGACCAAACAACGGCGGACCCAGUAAUAAUACCUGAAUUGAGAAAAUAUCUAGUGACCAGAGACCAGAUGGAGGGAAUCUCUUUUAAAUUUUUACCGGCAAAAUAUACAAAUCAAUUCACCAUACAUAACGAAACGGGCGAAAUCCGAUUUAAUGAGGGGGCAAAGGUUCGAGUUGAUGAAGAUAUAGUAUUAACUGUAGAAGUUAGCUACCACAAUUUUUUAAAAGACACAGCUACCUUUAAAAUAAUAUUCACUAAAGAUACACCAGAAGAUUGGAACGUGUUGAAUCAAGUAUGGUUUAUACCAAUUAUAUCUCUGUCUAUUAUAAUUAUACUCAGCUUGUUGGCUCUCAUUUAUCUCAGAUGUGAAAAGCGUAAAUAUAUUCGUGAAAUACCCGGUAAUAAGCAUACAGCAAGAGAUAUUCAAGCUGCUGUUUAGACUCAUUAACACAACAGUAAUAUCAUUUCCCGAACUUAAUACUUCGCAACCUUUAACGUUACAAUUUCAUAUUUUAAGUUAUAUUUUUUAAAAUGUAUCAAAAUAAAGCCCUAAAAUAGAUGGUAUCUAUAAACAGACUUACCUUGUUAAAGAAUAAUCCUAUAAUCCUAUAAUUCACUAUUGCAAGUUGAGAAAUUGGAAAAAAACAUCAUUUUCAACUUCAAAUUCAAACGUUUGAAGAUAUCUAUUCCAUGGUGGGGAAUAGGAAAACAAGGGAGGUAAUUGUGUUAUUAAUUCCGGUGCGAAGAUUUUUAAGUGUGAGAAAGAUAACCUAUGAUCGUAUAAUUAUGAGUUGACAACCUAUUGAGGAGAAGACAUAGAAAUAAUUAUGUUUUGACUUUCUUAGAAAAUAUGAAAUUGUAACUUUAAAUAACCAGUGUAACUGUGUUCCUCGCGUUUACUCACCUAAAAUGAACACUUUGCAAGUUUAUUUUCUAAAUUUCAAAAUUUAAGAUUUAUUCUAACCUUAUUAAGGUGAGACAAACAUAAGAGUUUUAUGGAUAAACAAUUACUGUAUUUUAAUCGGGGCUACGUUUCAACAAUGAUUCUAUUGUCGUUCUUCAAGCUAUUCAAACAGUUUAUUAACAUACUUGUAAGAUUCCCGAGUUAUGGAUUUUCGUUUUUAAAUCCACACAAAGUUUAUUUUUAAAAAAUAUGUGCCUUAAAUCUGCUGCUCAGUAGGACAAUCAGUAAACAGAUUUUAUUUUUGAAGUAAUUCCUACCUGUCUAUCUGACUGACUGGGUUUAUGUUGUGCCUUAUUAUUAUGACAUAGGACAAUGAACGCGUUUGUAUUUGUGUCAUUUUUGAGUUACAAUUAUAUAACUCAUUCAAUCUAAUUAGAACUAUACUAAAAAUUCGUUUCGUUUAAUUUUUCGGUUGUUCACCCUACUUCCUCUUAGUCUAUACGUACAUUUCUUUAUAGGGUGCUUUAAUUCCUUCAGUACUGCGCAGAUUGUGAUUGGUAGACUAAAAAGCAACCUACAAAUCUGAACACCCCAUAUUACAAUAUAAUGCGAAAUCUUUUGAACGACAGAUUGUCGAAGGUAUCUUUAGAUGCUAAUAGAAUGAAUAUCAUACUAAACGGAACGAAAAUAACAUUUGAUUUUAAGUAGACCAUGUCACAUCAAUAAACAUUGCAGAUUAAAGAUGCAUUAUGUAAGAGCUAAAUCUUCCUAUUGCAGGUCUAAAUUUGGGCUUCAAAUGUGAUAUAAACUAUUUUUUAGACAUGGAUAAAAAUGGAUAACGAUAAAACGGAUAAUCGAGACUUAAUCUCGAUUGUCAUGUACCGUUGCUACAACAAUAAACAAUCUUCAAACAGCCAUAACGUCGCUCAGAAUAAAGUAAUUUGAAUGUUAUUUAAAUAUAUUCAUUUUUCAUUAUCUAUGUUUGAACUAUUAUUGCAAGAAUGGCCAGCUGUUUAUCUAAAUCUUACAUAAUGUAUCUUUAAGAAAAUUAUAUCCCUUUUCCUAAAAAGCGAAGUGAAGUAGCCUAUAUGUAUUUACUACCUGGGGUUAAAUAUUAAACAUCUGCUUAAAAAUAGUUCUUUUGUUCGUAUUUAUUUUGUUAUAAUCCUGAUUUUAUCUUAAUAUAUAAAAUAGUGAAUACGUAAUAAAAUAAAACGAAGCGAAAUUAUAUAUCUGUUUAUUUUAAGUAGAUUAAUUCCAUUUGUUAUAAUCCUAACUUUAUCUUACUAUAUAAAAUAGGGAAUACGAAAUAAAAUAAAACGAAGCGAAAUUAUAUAUCUGAAUACAUCUGAUUAUUUUAAGGAGAUUAAUUCCAUUUAUUCUGUGAUUAACAAACCUUUAUUAUAAUGCCCGUAAUCAUUUUAGUAGAAGUUGUUAUUUAUUUAUAUAUUAAAUGCUGUGGUAAUUUAAAUGCCGUGAUAAACCAAUUGAAGGUUUUGUAUUUAUCAUAAUAUUGUACAUAUAUAGUCUAUUUUUAA